Pan paniscus (pygmy chimpanzee) is the source of this 4932-nucleotide long non-coding RNA. Lineage: Eukaryota; Metazoa; Chordata; Mammalia; Primates; Hominidae. The record is from Ensembl.
AUGGGAAGUGAGGAGGCGGCUCGCGCCGAGCCCCGGGCUCCCCGCGCUGCUACCUUCGGGUUGGAAGGGGGAGGCGGGUCGGGGGAGGGCAGGGGAACGGAAGGGGUACCCGGGGAGCAUCCUAAGGGAACCUCUUCGCGUAAAAGGGCGGCCGCUGAAGUGGCUCUGAGAACAAAGGAGUUAACACUCGGACUCCACAGCCUGCGUCCCCGCCCGGUCAGCAUCGCAGGUGUUACCCAAACUCUGACGGUCCCUUUAAGAACUCACCUGGAGUCGCGCCGUCCGAAGCUGAGCCGCCCUCGGCCAGCGCUGCAGGCCCCAGCUUAUAAAUCUAUGAAGGUGUCCAGGUCCUGCCAGACUCCGCUGCAUCUUUUGCUUUCACUCCAGCAGGGUAGCAGCAUGCUGCCUGUGCCAAGGCAAUCACUAAAAGGAAAGGAUUUAAUGCUGUCAAAAAAGCUUAUGCCAGCUUAGGCUCAAGAAGAGGAACAGAGUCAAGUAUGUUGAAAGUGGACAUAUUGGUCAGACGUCCAUGAGAGCCUAGGGGGCAUUGCUUAGCAGCACACUUUUAAAGGAAUCUGAACAAACCAGCAUGUGGAAAGAAGAGAGUAACCACAGCAAUCAGGAAACAACUGUACAAUCUAGGGCCAUUUCAUUGGAAAAACAGAAGUCUCCAGGGAGCUGCAGUCAUCAAACAGGCUUAUUCUGUGUACCCAGUGGGCAAGUACAGUCAAUGGAUGAAAAUUCAACCAAUGGACAAACACAGGAAGUUUUUCCUUAACAUGAGUUGUCAGAAACUGUCCAAAAUUCCAAAGAGCUGCCUCAAGGUAGUGGUAAAUUUUUUUUUUUUUUUAAUCAGGAAGGUGCUGAAUGAAGCCAGCAAGGAUUCUGUGUCAGAGGGUGGUAGAUACCCAGGACAUAAGGUUGAACUACGUGACCUCUGAGACCACAGUUCUAAGCUGUUGAAACCUCAGUCCCUGCUGAAUACUGAAAUGGUAUUAGCACCCUUUAGUCUACAUCAAGAAUUCGUUCUACCCAGUUUUGGUGAUACCAAGACUGAUCUCUUUCUCAUAGAUAAUUCUUAACAGAAUAAAAGCUACAGGUUGAAACCAAUUCCCUUUAAAAUGUGGACAGUUGACCAUCUCCAUGAUGGGUAGUUAGGCACUGAAUUAAUGCUUUUUAAUGGAAGAGCCACCCUAAGAUUCCUGGAGUGUGGUAUAAUGGAGUACUAAAUCAGUAUAGGACUAAUAACUGCCUCCCGUGUAAACUGGUCUAUCCGGAGAGUGGUAUAGCCUCUCAUACAGUGUUCAAAGACAGAUUUAACUCACUGCAGGUCCACAGCAACAAUAAGAUAAACUCAUUAGUUAUGGUCUCCCACUUUGCAAAGGAGAGCACAGAGGAAGAAGAAACUGAGGUAACUUGGUUUAGGACACCACAGCUGGCUGGAGCCGGGCUGAACAUUAGUUCAUUGUUUCUUCGAUUAAUCUAUGCUGCUUUUUCUCUACUUGGCUCCUUUUCUAAACAAAACAAAACAAAACAAAAAACACUGGGCACAGAGUGGUGUAUAUGUGUGUGAGAGAGAGACAGAGAGAGAUAGAGAAAGACUAAGUGAAAGAGAAAAGAGAGAGGCUGAGUGAGAUUCAGAUAAAAUAAGGCACAAGUCAUGGGCUAGUCUGUUGUACAGUGUACUUAUCAUAUAUUUGAAUGCCUUUAACAAUGGAGACAGUUUUGAUGGAAAUAGGGCCUUGAAGAAAUGCAUAUCCGCACCCUGGUGGUAUGUUAUAACUAAACGGGUUGGUUUUUUGUUUCGGAGUUUUUUGGGUUUCUUUUUAAUGCAAAGGUAUAUAUUUAAAAUACCCUGUAGCUUCCUUCUCUCCUUCAUUUCAUUUCCGGAAGUAUGAGAGAGGUUUUCUGGAUGACGGGACAUCCAAACUGGAAGUGCCCUUAGAUCCCAUCAACCCCCAUCCCCAAGUUUGAGAAGCAUGUAAAGUAAGCUCCAGAAGAGCUCCCAGACAACGUCAGCACACAAUUAUCAGAGGACUUUUCCCUGAUGGCAGAAAGCUACUGACAUUUCCAGAACAAUCCAUCUUUCUUUUAGAGAGAAGGGGCUGGGGGUAAGGAGAAAUUAGUAAUCUUUUCUAGAGAUACGUUUCUAAGUUUAACCAAAUUUGCUUUUCUGCUUUUGAAGAACUUGUGGUAUUGACAGAACCGUAGGAUCCCAUAUGGAAAUCCUCAGGAUUAUACUAAAAUCUCCUUACAUGAAACAACCUCUUCACCCCACCCCCUGCCAAGAGAAUGACCAUUGUCUGUUCACAGAAGGCUUUGGCCAGGGCCCUUCAGUCAGAUUAUCCUUAUGUAGGUAGAGAACAUAAACUUGGAAACUUAAUUGGAAUUUGAAGAAAUGCUAUUAGAAUUUUAGGAAGUCAUUUGUAUUCCAUUUCUGAGAUAUGACCUGAAUAGAAUUCUGGUAAGUGGAGAAGCCAGAAGAUUCUUCAUAAUUACAUGUGGACUGUGUCCAGUGACCAAUCUCAUUUAGGAUGGAAAACUGCCACAACCUUCCAAAACAAAGACCUGUGUGCCAGUCUUUCAUUUUUGGGAAGUGACACUCACUAGGGCUGUCAUUUUCCUAUUCCUCAUGUUGUAUAACCCUAAAUUCCUUUAUUAUUUUCUUCUAUUUUACACUCACAAGAACGGUAAUGAUAAUGAAUCAUUUAAAUCUUGCUUUCUAUUUAAAUUUUCUUUAGAUUAAAUUAAUUUCUUCCCAAGACAAUUUUAUCAACUGAGAUUAAAUAUUUGUGAUUAAAGCAUCUUCUGCCUUUUAUAAAUAAAUUGGGCGGCAGUUGAAGAAACUUUUCCAAAUAUGCUUUUUCAAAAUCCUGCAAAAUUUUCCCAAGUUGGAUAUCAUUUCAACUUGCAAAUUACCACAUGAAUAAACAAAGCCAAGCUCGAAGGGAGUAGGAGACAAUGAGUCAAAAAUUUAAAAGGGGUGGGCCUUUACCAAUUACUAAUGAAGAUGAACAAAGCAAUUUAAGAAUAAGACAGAAGCAAAUAUUUAAUAAGAAAUGCUACCAUAAUAAUUUGGAGAAGCUUGGGUUCAAAAGAGCAGAAUAAAGCUGUAUCUCUAUUCUUUUUUUCUCUUGGAAAAACUCCAAAAAUAUUAGAACAAAGAGAAACUUGUUCCUCCAUCCUUAAUAAAAAGAAGAGUGGCUAGGCGUGGUGGCUCACACCUGUAAUCCCAACACUUUGGGAGCCCAAGGCAGGUGGAUUGCUUGAGGUCAGGAGUUUGAGACCAGCCUUACCAACAUGGUGAAACCCAUCUCUAUUAAAACUACAAAAAUUAGCCAGGCAUGGUGGUGCCCGUCUGUAAUCCCAGCUACUCAGGAGGCUGAGGCAGGAGAAUCGCAUGAACCUGGGAGGCAGAGGUUGCAGUGAGCUGAGAUUGUGCCACUGCACUCCAGCCUGGGUGACAGAGCAAGACUCCAUUAACAAAAAAAAAAAAAAAAGGAAUUUAGAUGCCCAGGCUCCCACAUAUUCAGACCGGUGACCAUCUUCCCUCACUCCUCCAAAAGGCAAGAAUUUGAUUUAUUGGAGAAUAAGAGAAGUUUUAGAUUUGGAACUACUAGACUCAGAGGAAGAUGGUGGUGCAUUAUAGUACAGGAAACUAAGGGAAAAUCUGCGUAUUGAACAGAGAUAACUCCCUCACACCCACCUCCUUCUUCCUGCUAGCCAUAGCUGGAGUACCCUUCAGAGAGAAAAAUGGAAUUGCCUCAGAAAGAUCAGUAGAUACUCAUAGUUGGAAGGCUUACAACGAAAGGCUAAGCCAUCAGAAAAAUGCAAAUAAAAACCACAGUGAGGUAGACUUCACACCCACAAGUAUGGCUCUGAUCAAAAAGACACAGCUGCUACCAUCAUAACAAGUGCUGCAAAGGAUGUGGAGAAAUCAGACCCCCCAUACACUGCUGCUGGGACUGUAAAAUGGUGCAUCCACUUUGGAAAACAGUCUGGGAGUUUUUUGAACACUUGAACAUGUAAUCCAUAGGAUGUGACAAUUCCACUUCUAGGUAUACACCAAAGACAACUGAAAACACGUGUCUAUACACAAAUAUUCAUUACAACAUUAUUCGUAAUAGCUAGAAAGUGGAAACAACGCAAAUACCCAUGAAUUGGUAAAUGGAAAAAUAAAAUUGGUACCCCCGUGUAACAUAAUAUUAUUCAGCAAAAUAAAGAAGUGAAGUACUGAUACAUGCUAUGACAUGAGUGAACCUUGAAAACAUUAUGCGGAGUAAAAGAAGCAAGUUACAAAAGACCACAUACUGCAAAUUCCAUUUAGAUGACUUAUCCAGAAAAGGCAAAUCUGUAGAGAGAAAAAGUAGACUAGUUGUUGCCUAGGGUUGAGGAGCAUGGGAUGGAAGGGGUUGGAAGGUGAGGGCUAAGGAAUGAGGUUUUUUUAUUUUAAUAAAAAUGUUCUAAAAUUAACAGUGGUUUUGGACUCACAGUUCUGUGAAUAUACUAACAGCCAUUGAACUGUGCAGUUUAAAUGGGUGAAUUGUAUGGUGUGUGAGUUAUAUCUCAAUAAAGCUGCUUAAAAAAAAUGUCAAGCUGGUCAUUUUAUUGCCCUUCAAGAAUGCAGACCAGGCCAGGCACGGCCUGUAAUCCCAGCACUUUUGGGAGGCUGAGGUGGGCGGAUCACCUGAGAUCAGGAGUUCGAGACCAGCCUGGCCUAUAUGGUGCAACCCCAUCUCUACUAAAAAUACAAAAAUGAGCGGGGUGUGGUGGUGGGUGCCUGUAGUCCCAGCUACUCAGGAAGCUGAGGCAGGAGAAUCACUUAAACCCAGGAGGCGGAGGUUGCAGUGAGCUGAGAUCGAGCCACUCCACUCCAGCCUGGGCGACAGAGUGAGAAUCUGUCAGAAAAAAAGAAUGCAGACCAAUCAAUGA